RNAcentral lists this transfer RNA (68 nucleotides) under Marmota monax (woodchuck). Its description in RNAcentral is "tRNA.Ala". The stretch from base 5 to 65 matches the Rfam family "tRNA", at positions 6 to 65 of the family's 71-position model. Rfam says of the family: Transfer RNA (tRNA) molecules are approximately 80 nucleotides in length. Their secondary structure includes four short double-helical elements and three loops (D, anti-codon, and T loops). Lineage: Eukaryota; Metazoa; Chordata; Mammalia; Rodentia; Sciuridae. The record is from RNAcentral.
GGAUUGUGACUCAGUGGUAGAGUGCUUGCCUCGCAUGCAUGAGGCCCUGGGUUCAAUCCUCAGCACCA